UACAGAGGUCCCGAGCGUUGUUCGGAUUCACUGGGCGUAAAGGGUGCGUAGGUGGUGAGGUGUGUCGGAUGUGAAAUCUCCAAGCUCAACUUGGAAAGGGCAUUGGAAACUACCUUGCUAGAGGGUUGGAGGGGGGACUGGGAUACUUGGUGUAGCAGUGAAAUGCGUAGAUAUCAAGUGGAACACCAGUGGCGAAGGCGAGUCCCUGGGCCUGCACUGACGCUCAUGCACGAAAGCGUGGGGAGCAAACAGG
Molecule: ribosomal RNA, 253 nt
Filed under: uncultured bacterium
Lineage: Bacteria
Description: partial 16S ribosomal RNA
Rfam family: Bacterial small subunit ribosomal RNA
Source: RNAcentral